RNAcentral lists this long non-coding RNA (996 nucleotides) under Calidris pugnax (ruff). RNAcentral's name for it is "lncRNA (ENSCPUG00000008524.1)". The record is from RNAcentral. Lineage: Eukaryota; Metazoa; Chordata; Aves; Charadriiformes; Scolopacidae.
UUCAGUAAUGAUGAUACUGAUAACUGACCACUGCUGCUUCCAUGAGUGUUCAUGGUCAUUUCAGGCAUGUUGUUGCACCCAUGUUGCUUUCUAUCCACAUAUAUAAUGUUUCUAGCUAAUGUGUAAGCAAAGAUCUAUUACUAAUAGUACUCAUUUUUCUGUUGUCAUAGCAUCAGUGUGAUCUCCUCAUUGAACGAGGCUCUGCAAAGAGAAAGCCACACAUCUUCAACUUUAAACCAAGAGAUAACUGAGAGAAAUAAAUGCUCCAAAUGGCAGAGUGUGUUCUGAUAAGCACUUGGGAGACCAGUCUUAGAAGGAGACUGGAACAGAGAUUAGACUGAGAAGAAUGGGAAAUAAUUGCUCAAGGCGUUGGUGUAUUUUCUGAAUGUACUCGUACGUCAUCAGAAUUAGAGGAAAAUUGCUGGAAUCGCAUGUGUUGCAGACGUCUGGCAGAAAUCACCAAGAGCUGUGGGGGUGUUACAUCUGUUCAUGGCUGAGGAUGGCCUCCAGAAGUACAUUUUUAUGUGCUUUCUCAAAGUCAUUCAGAGUGAUACCCGCUUCUUUAGACUCCUUUCAGAGGAUCCCAGGACCUGCUGCUUUAACUGGAGCCCUCAGCGAUGGUGGUUUUCUGCCACUCAGCAGAAACGUACCUAUUCUGACACUGAAUUCUGCUGUAAGCUAUAUAAUAGAUCUCUGCCACGUUAGAAGUCUAAUUCCAAUAUUGACUUGGAAUGUAGAUUAAUAACAUAUUCAGUAUAAAUUUCUCUGUAUGUAUAUUACUCAUCUCUUCAUUUUCAUUUUUACAGUGACAGAAAUUUCUCCCGAAGCUGAUAGGACUCAGAAGAGGUAACCUUCCGAGUGCUGCAAUGGCAAAGCAUUCCUGCCUUCCAUGACCAAAUCCAAGAACAACAAAAAGUGCCAAAAAAUGCUCUUGUAAGGUAUGCUUGAACCUUAGCAGGACUCUAAGAAACAUUCCCAGUAAAGAACAUAAUGGAU